Chelonoidis abingdonii (Abingdon island giant tortoise) is the source of this 597-nucleotide non-coding RNA. NCBI's taxonomy places the organism in Eukaryota, Metazoa, Chordata, Testudines, Testudinidae. The record is from RefSeq and is a predicted model, not a curated record.
CUGUAAUCAGUGGGCUUCUGUGGUCCUGUGGGUCCUCCCCUUAGGCUGGGGGAGGAUCCUUUAGCACUUCCUGGAAACCCAAUAGAUAUAGGUGCCUAUGCUAGGAUUUAGUUGAAAAAAAACCUUCAGAUGAAGUAACUUUUCUAGGAGGUGGGUUAAAGAGAUCAAAUCGCAUAAAAUGUAUGUGUUAUGUUCAUGAAUUAAAUCUAGGUUCUACUGCCUCUGUUUCCUUCAAUAAAUACUCCCUUUACCUCCAUCAGUUCUUAGAGGGAUGGCCUUUCUGAACUGCUGUUAGCAGAAUUAAUCUCUAUUUCUCUUCACAGAUGUCUCAAUAACACAUCCUUUCCUGUUGCUCCCAGAUGUCAUACACUGAGUUAUGCUGUAGGGCCUCUCUCCGCUAUAGAUUCUCUGGUGCUGCAUGAAUAUUGAUCUGCUAAUGAACUUCUUCCCACAGUCAGCACACGUGAAGAGCAACUCCCUGGUAUGGGUUCUGUGAUGGUUAGUGAGGGCCACUCCUUGCUGUGGAUUCUCUGGUGCUGCAUGGGGAAGGAGGCAUUUCUCAAGCUCCUCCCACCCUGGGUACGUUUGCACAGCCUG